RNAcentral lists this long non-coding RNA (1191 nucleotides) under Oryctolagus cuniculus (rabbit). Its description in RNAcentral is "lncRNA (ENSOCUG00000030550.1)". Lineage: Eukaryota; Metazoa; Chordata; Mammalia; Lagomorpha; Leporidae. The record is from RNAcentral.
AUGUGGACCUGGGUUUUGUUUCAAGUCUCUGGCGUUGUAGCACCAGGGAGAAGAGACACUGCAGGGUCUCCUGCCUCUGACCCUACAGUCUCGCCACUCGGCCACUCUGUUGAGCCAUACGGGCUGGGCACUGCUUCCGUGGACCAAGAUCUGAGUGUCCAUGGAUCAGAGCGUGCUUGUUGCAGGCGGUCAGGGAGCAAGUUUAGCAGAUGGAUGGAGUCAGGCUGGUUCAAAGAUGGAAAGUUUCCAAAGGAAAGCAGCGGGCAGGCUGAAGGUGACCGGUCCCUAAACGAUGCACCUGCCUGCUUGGUCCCCACUAGAAGGCUGCUAGUGUUCCAAGUGUCUGGUGCCGCGAGAGUUUCAGAGCCCCUGCUGGAUGCCAGGCACUGUCCCAUGUGUGGGCGAGGGGUGGGGAAGAGACACCAUUCCCACCUCCUGGGGCACAGGUCCAGAGUCAAGGCCACAGACAGUGCGGGUGGAGAGAGAGAGAGAGACUCCACUGCACACGGACUGGGUCUCUCUGCAGCUGCCCCGCGAUUUGUCCCAUGCUGUAGCUUUGAAUUAAUUCACUGGAGGUCACGCCGAAACUGGUGGGGUGCAGUGAGAUUUGGCAGUAGUAACUGGUGUUGGUGGGCCUUUGCUGGUUGGAAAUGCAAAGGGGCAGAGAAGACUUCAGAGAUGAUCUGGAUCUGGGCUUGGAGAGAGGGAGAGGGAGAGAGGGAGACAGGAGGAGGGGGGAAGGGAGGGAGGGAGGGAGAGAGAGCAUCUCCUUGGGACUUUUCUGAAAACCAGGGUGUAACACUUGCUCUGCUGACGCUGUGGGGUUGUUGGGAAAUGGGAGCCAAGGAGAUAAUGGACAGCAAACAUUAUUUUAUUUUAAGAUUUAUUUACUUAGGGACUGGCGCUGCGGCACAGUGGGUAAAGCCGCCGCCUGCAGUGCCAGUAUCCCAUAUGGGUGCCGGUUCAAGUCCCGGCUGCUUCAAUUCUGAUCCAGCUCUCUGCUGUGGCCUGGGAAAGCAGUGGAAGAUGGUCCAAGUCCUUGGGCCUCUGUACCUGCAUGGGAGACCUGGAAGAAGCUCCUGGCUCCUGGCUUCGGAUCAGCGCAGCUCCAGCUAUUGUGGCCAAUUGUGGAGUGAACCAGCAGAUGGAAGACCCCUCUCUCUCUCUGCCUCUCCUUCUCUCUCUGUGUAA